AAUUUGGCGCCUAAAAUGGAGUCUACUGCGCAUGCUACGUGCUACGAUUUCCGGCUGCGUAGAGAUAAUACGCAGUCGUUCUUCCCAAAUUCUCUCUCUCCUCCGUUGGCUUUCGAAGUGAAUAUCCACAAAGCCAUCAACAAGCAGAAAACAGUAUCUAAUUUAUUUAACAACUAUAAGGAUCAUCCGUUAACUUCUAAUAUGUCUUACGGUAAAAACGGCGGCGGUGGAGGUGGUGGCGGCGGCGGCGGAGGUGGUUCCUUCAAGGGCCGAUCAGGAGGUGGAUCAUACAGAAAUGGUGGUGGCGGCGGCGGAGGCGGUGGUGGUGGUGGACGUUUCCGUGGAGGCGGCGGCGGACACAACCGUUCCGGGGGCAACAACCGCUCCGGAGGUUGGGAUCAACCUGGAGGUGGACUGAGGAAACCUUCAUGGGAGAUGAACAAAUUGAGGCCGUUCAAGAAAGAUUUCUAUGUACCACACCAUGACGUCUCCAACCGCUCUCGCUACGAGGUAGAACAAUACCGUAUUUCCAAGCAAAUUACUGUCGAAGGAGAGGAAAUUCCUGACCCUAUCCAGUAUUUCGAGGAAGCAAGUUUCCCAGAUUAUGUGAUGGCCAGUAUUAAAAAGCAGGGUUAUGAUACACCAACAGCUAUUCAAGCACAAGGCUGGCCUAUUGCUAUGAGUGGGAAGAACAUGGUUGGAAUUGCACAAACAGGAUCUGGAAAAACAUUGGCUUACAUUCUGCCAGCUAUUGUACAUAUCAAUAACCAGCAACCCAUUAGCCGUGGUGAUGGACCUAUUGCCCUUGUACUGGCACCAACACGUGAACUUGCACAACAGAUUCAGCAAGUGGCGACAGAUUUUGGCAAAAAUUCGUAUGUGAAGAACACGUGCAUUUUCGGUGGUGCUCCCAAAGGACCCCAGGCACGUGAUCUGGAAAAUGGCGUCGAAAUUGUCAUUGCCACACCCGGAAGGCUUAUUGAUUUCUUGGAAAGGGGAACCACAAAUCUGUCGAGGUGCACAUAUCUUGUAUUGGAUGAAGCUGAUCGUAUGUUGGACAUGGGUUUUGAACCACAAAUUCGUACUAUUAUUGAGCAAAUCAGGCCAGACAGGCAAACCCUUAUGUGGUCUGCAACCUGGCCCAAAGAAGUUAGGAAAUUGGCUUCAGAUUUUCUGAAUAAUUAUGUGCAAAUUAAUAUUGGCUCCCUGCAAUUAUCUGCUAAUCACAACAUUUUACAAAUUGUUGAUGUUUGCCAGGAAUAUGAGAAGGAAGUCAAAUUAAACACAUUAUUGGAAGAAAUUGGAAAUAAUGGUGAACCUGGAGCGAAAACCAUUAUUUUUGUUGAAACCAAAAGGAAAGUAGAACAAAUUACAAGGAAUAUUCGCAGGAAUGGAUGGCCAGCAGUGUGCAUGCAUGGUGACAAGAGCCAACAGGAGCGCGAUUAUGUGUUGCGCGAAUUCCGUAACGGAAAGACUAGCAUUUUGGUUGCUACUGAUGUAGCAGCUCGUGGGCUUGAGGCACAUGCAGGAUGAGCGUAGUUUUUAGCCAGUGAGUGCUAAUGAAUACGCCUUUUUUGCGUUCUCCUAUAAAGGACGCAAUUCUGAGUCUUGCGGUGCCUCUGGCUGGCUACCCUGCUGAGGUGUAGAUCAGCUAAUGAGGUAGAUGACCGAUUCAGGAAGAUCUGAUGAUGCAACACUUGUAUGAUGGCACAUGUUUGUUAUCUGAUUAAUAAUCUCUCCUUUCCAUUCCGCUGAAUGUAAAUUCAGUAAUAAUACAAAAAAAAAAAUAACAAUAUACAACUAAGGAUCACACUUACUGUUUACCAAAACUACACCUUUACAAACUGUAAACUCCCAUGAUCCAAGUAGAAGAUUAUUCAAACAGAUGUCAUUCACAAAGUAUUAUUGUCUUCCGUUCGGUCCUGCAGUGGAUUGACCAAUUUCGACAACUUAAUAUUGGGAUCUGCUGCAGCCAGUUUAUUUGCUACUAUAGCUGUAAAUCGUACAUAGCCUAGCGUCUUGUGGAUUCUUAAUGUUCUCGAGCGCACUGAUGUGGAAGGUAUUAAGUACGUGAUAAACUUUGAUUAUCCAAACUCGUCAGAAGAUUAUAUUCAUCGUAUUGGACGUACUGGCAGAUCUGAU
Nicrophorus vespilloides is the source of this 2142-nucleotide RNA transcript. It is a transcript of the gene named ATP-dependent RNA helicase DBP2, with no coding region annotated. Lineage: Eukaryota; Metazoa; Arthropoda; Insecta; Coleoptera; Silphidae. The transcript is spliced from 6 exons. The record is from RefSeq and is a predicted model, not a curated record.